Molecule: ribosomal RNA, 2187 nt
Filed under: Triticum aestivum (bread wheat)
Lineage: Eukaryota; Viridiplantae; Streptophyta; Magnoliopsida; Poales; Poaceae
Description: partial small subunit ribosomal RNA
Source: RNAcentral
AUGCCGGAGCCACCGGCGGGCCAGCGCUUCUCGGGCCUCCGCGGCGCGCGGUGGCGCGCCGAUCUAGGCGUCCUGCCCGGCUCCCCCGACGUCCCCACCACCGAGCUCCGCCGCGCCGCCGCCGACUCCCGCCGCAGAUACGCUAAUUUGCGGCGGCGGCUGCUGAUAGAUCCCCAUCUCUCCAAGGACGAAGACGGUGCUCCUAAUCUUGUUGUGGAGAAUCCACUGUCACAGAACCCAGAAAGCACUUGGGGUCAAUAUUUCAGGAAUGCAGAACUAGAGAAAAUGCUGAACCAAGACCUGUCCCGACUCUAUCCUGAAUUGGGAGAAUUUUUCCAAACAACCACAUGUCAGUCCAUGCUUGAACGCAUACUGCUAGUAUGGAGCCUUAGAUACCCAGAGUUUGGGUAUAAACAAGGAAUGCAUGAACUCCUAGCUCCUCUGUUCUAUGUCCUUCACAUUGAUGUGCAGCACUUUAAACAAGUUAAGGAGCUUCAUGAAGAGCUUCUUGGUGACGAUUUUGAUGGCCAGACAUUUCCAGAUAGGUUUUUGCUGAACAGGAGUGACAGGGCUAACAAUUCUGAGGGCGGUGCAGCUAAAAUUAGAAGUUUGGACGAGCUUGAUGCUGAUACUAGGGACCUCCUCUUGAUAAAUGAUGCAUAUGGAGCAGAGGGUGAGCUAGGUAUCAUUUUAUCUGAAAAGUUCAUGGAGCAUGAUGCCUAUUGUAUGUUUGAGAAUUUGAUGAACGGGUUGAUGAAUGGUGCACAAGGUGUGGUUGCUAUUACCGAUUUCUAUUCUCUCAGUCCUGCAUCAGAAUCAAGCAUGGGUUUAACACCUGUAAGGGAGGCAUCAGCUGCCAUAUAUCACUUGCUUGCUAGUGUGGAUUCCUCUCUUCACAGUCAUCUUGUGGAGUUGGGAGUAGAACCUCAGUACUUUGCACUCCGAUGGCUUCGAGUCCUAUUUGGUCGUGAAUUUACACUCGACAAUCUUCUGUUUAUUUGGGAUGAAAUCUUCUCUUCUCCAAACCAUUCAUAUUGUACAGACAUAAAAAAUCGGGGAGACUAUCAGUUUAAGGUUUUAUGUUCUCCCCGUGGUGCCCUGAUUUUGUCAAUGGCAGUCUCAAUGAUGCUUCAUCUCAGAUCCUCCUUGCUGGGAAGUGAGCAUGCGACUUCUUGCCUGGUGAGAUUAUUAAAUUUUCCUCAAGAUAUUGACUUGAAGAACUUGAUUGAGAAGGCCAAGUUAUUGCAGUCGUUAGCUCUAGAAGCAAAUCUUCCGUUGUCUCCCCUGACAGGAAAAUCUCCCUUGACUCCACCCAAUUAUUGGGAAGAGACAUGGAAGAUGCUUCAGAUGUCAGGAGACAAACGAAGUGGUGGUUCAACUGUUAGGAUAAAAGGAAGGGGAUUUUUAAGAAGAAGCGUGUCCAACACCGAAUCAAAUGUUUCUAGAACAAAGGGUGCCAAUGUUGAUAACAGCAAUUCGACUUCAACUAGCCAGCCUGAGCCUAUUGUUGAUGAACUGAACACCACUGAUAUAGUUCCUGUCAAAUUGAUAAACAGUUUACCAACCAUGCCUAUAGUACACCAAAAGGAUUGUGUUGGUCAAGGUACUGCAGAGAUCGUUAGAAGUACCUCAAACAGUCUAUGUGAGGCAGGCCCGCAUGAUGGUUACCAUACAACUUCUGCCAAAAUUAGAGAUCGUAUUGAUGGAGCUCGUGAGUAUUUAUCAAGGAAUAGGCCUCCAUCCUUUCGGCGUCGUACUGAUCAUGACCAUGAUGCCCGUCAUGAGGAAGAACCAUGUGUUUCCCAUGGCGCCAAGGUGGUUAAUGAGCCAGAUACACUGUCUGUGCAUAAUGAUAAGACUGAUGAACCCUGUCAGGGUGAUGGUAAGACUGAUGAAGCAGCAAUUACAGAUCGAACAUUUGAAUCGGUGGAUUAUCAACCAAAUCAAGAGCAUAGCAUAUGUUCUGACGUAGGCCCAAGUUUGAAGGUGGCUGAUAAGGAGUUGGUCGGAACAUUAAGGUCUUUUGGCGAAUCGAUGGUUGAAAAUAUUCAGGUUAUUGAACUACACUUUCGACCAAAUUUACCCAUGGCAUCAGUGCAAAAUGGUCCCGGAAGCACAGAGCAAGCCAAGGCGCUUGCAGCCCUCGAGGAACUCAAGAAGAUCAGUGAUCUUUUACGUCGUGUUUAA